Molecule: long non-coding RNA, 1130 nt
Organism: Oreochromis aureus
Lineage: Eukaryota; Metazoa; Chordata; Actinopteri; Cichliformes; Cichlidae
Source: Ensembl
AUAAAUAUCAUAUGCAUUAAUAUGGUUAAACAAUACAAAAGCAACAUAAAACAAUUUUCCCGAGAAAAGGGGUGAAUCUGCUUUGUGCCCUGUCUCCAGUCUCCUCCUGGUGCCCCCCCCCCCCCACUCCCAGUGGUCUGUUCUAUAAUGCCUCAAUUCGGUAUUGGUAAACACCUGUUUGAACAUGGCCUCGAAACGGCAACAGGAGUCGGGAGCGGAGAAAAGAAAGAAGAAGAGGAAGCGUGAUGAAACUCAGGCGUCGCUUGCCGGAGGAUCUCAAGGACAGGAUGAACCAUCCAGUAGUAGUGCCAUCCCUGGACAUCAACCACCAGCCAUUGUAGACCCUGCAACAAUCCCUAGCCAAGAAGAACAAGAACCAUCAACCACCAGUUCAGAUUGCCAAGCUGCUGCUUUGCCGCAGUGGAUUUCUUGCUGUUGGGCCGAGGUCCUGAUACGCUGGUGGCUCUAUUGUAAUUUGUGGUUUCAUCAUCUGUUAUCAUUGCAGACUGUGAAGGCGCUACAUGGAAACUGAUCUUUCCUCCCUGCUUUUUCAUGUACCGUGGUGAGCGUCGGCGGUGACGGAUUUAUGUUCAUACAUCUUUGCCCAGUUGGGGUGAAGUGUAGAUUGCCAUGUCUUUAACGUGUGACACAUGUUGUUGAUUUUUUUUAUAGAUUCCCUGCAGUGCUUAUCCUGUCUUCCACUUACAAUCGUACAAUUUUAUAGUUUAAAAUGUAUUAAAUGUAGAUUAAAUAAAAUAAAUUGUCUUGGCUGUUUAGAAAGAUUUUGUUUUGUAUUAGUGUUAAACCUUGUGAACUGGCUGUAUGCCUACGGCUCAGUCCUAUUGAAACGGGUACCUCCCUCGGUUCACAUAAAGGAGGUACAAAAGCAGGAAAUUGCUAAUUAACCAGCAUCAGCUAAUUACAUUUAAAUUCAUGUCUACUGCCAUUAAUGUAACACCACAGACUGCCCUCCAGUUCAACACAGAGUCACUGUAAACUCCAUCACAGUACUGCUAACUAACCAGUUUAGCCUGUGGUAAAAUGGUUAGUAUUUUCAUGCAACCUUUGAAUACUACAAGUUAUUAAAAUAAAAAAAUGAACUUCAGUAGCAUGAAUAAUGACAUUACCUC